UUCUAGGGUCCGCCCCGCGCCAUACACCUGUCCUACCUGCACAAUUAUCUGGAUGAUAAAAUAACCGUUUCUUUCAGACAGAAAUAGUUUCUCAUCAAGUAAGCAACCAGGUUAAUUCCCAACGUCCACUGUGUGUAUUUGGCUUUUCUUUUAAAAACGUUAGUCUACCUGUAUGAUACAUCAUGGAGAAAAGACCAAUCAAAUUUGGGAUUAUUCUUAUUUUGGCUGUUUCAGCACUCCUUUUCUUUGCUGAUGUUGUGCCUGUUUCCCGUUUGUGGAGGGCAACCCCCAGCAGCAGUGACAAGACCACCCCAGCUACGCUGUCCGCAUACUACUUAUGCGUCAGAAUCACCAACCAGAUUUACACUGAGUCACUCAAUAAUCAAAGCUCUAAGGAGUACAAACAGCUGAGGAAACAGGUGGAACAGAUGAUGGAUGACGUCCACAGCUCUUUGCCAGAGUCUGACAAAUAUAUGGGUGUAUUUGAUAUCAUCUUCAGUAAUGGAUCAGUCAUUGCAAACUCGACAUUAAUGUUUGGGACUACAUUCAUGAUCAUUCCAACUUUAGCUAAAGGUCUACUUUCCAUUCAUAUCCAAUCAAAUAAAUCCAAAACCCUUGACCUGGACCUCGCCUAUACUGAAGGUCAACUUCCAAUAAAAGCCACACUACCUCUUGUAGCACGUACAACAGCAACUGUAACUUACUCACCACCAUCUACCACAAAUACCCCUGCAGCAACGACUAAUACAGUUGCCUUAGUUAGUACGGCUAGCCGUUCAGGAAGGGUCGGGGAUGGAACUGCAUCUACAGCAAUGAUUUCAUCUGGCAACAUCACCAGUCUUGCAACAAUUAAUAUCACAAGUAGUCAUACCCUCACAACCACAGCCACCACCACUAGUCCUGACCAAAACAGCACAAUUAGCAGCAUUACCACUCAUAUUCCUGAAGACCAUAUCACUACAAUUAGCAACAUUACCACUCAUAUUCCUGAAGAACAUAUCACUACAAUUAGCAACAUUACCACUCAUAUUCCUGAAGAACAUAUCACUACAAUUAGCAACAUUACCACUCAUAUUCCCGAAGACCAAAAGACUACAAUUAGCAACAUAACCACCCCUAGCCCUGGGGACCCUAACAUAACAAUUAGCAACGUAAGCACCCAUAUUCCUGGAGACCACAACAAUACAAUUAGCAACACAACCACCCCUGCUCCUGAAGACCACAACAUUACAAUUAGCAACAUAACCAUCCCUAGCCCUGGGGACCCUAACAUAACAAUUAGCAACGUAAGCACCCAUAUUCCUGGAGACCACAGCAAUACAAUUAGCAACACAACCACCCCUAUUACCCCUAAAAAUCCUCCCCAGACCAGUAGCACGACACAUAAGACCACAGAGAAUGCUGCAGCUGUAGUUGCUGGGAGCGGAGAGGGAGUCCCAGGAUGGGGGAUCGCUCUAUUGGUACUGGCUGUCCUGACCUUGUUAAUCCUCCUUAUUCUCCUAAUACUGCUGCUAGUGUGGUUGUGCUGUAGGCAGAGAUAUGGAAGUUUCAGCCCAUAUAACCAGAUCAACCACGGGGCAGACAUCCAAAUGUACUCCACACACAGCCGCUUCGACGUGCCCAACGGCAAGCCUAAUGACGAAAUGCGGGGACCAUCGAAAAACCGAACAGGGAUGCAUGUGGUGAACGAGUACUGACACACAGGGGGAUGGGGUUCAAUGUGAGGUUCGAAUAGGUAGACUACUGAUUAUUGCCGAUAUAGAAGCUCCAGUCAAUUGGGUAAGAAGACCAUCUGAAAUGGCCUUAUGAAGUAAUAUGCAUGGGAGCAAUGACAAUUCUGUACAAAUGGUCCAAUUAUCUCUGAAGUAUCUGAAUGAAGAUCAUGGCGUUGGCUCACUGAUUGUAAUUUCAACCUGUAUUUAUUAAAAUCAAAUCACAUUUAUUUAUAAAGCCAUUUUUACAUCAGCUGAUGUCAAAGUGCUAUACAGAAACCCAGCCUAAAACCCCAAGCAGCAAGCAAUGCAAUGUCCUAAUGUUAUUUUAUUCCUAAUGUUUUUACCAGUGGAGGUUGCUGAGGGGAGGACGGCUCAUAAUAGCCGGAAUGAAGUCAAUGGAAUGGUAUCAAAGACAUCAAACACGUGGUUUCCAUGUGGUUGUUACCAUUCCAUUGACUCCAUUUGUAUUUCAUAUUAUUCUGUACGUAA
Molecule: RNA transcript, 2204 nt
Organism: Oncorhynchus keta (chum salmon)
Lineage: Eukaryota; Metazoa; Chordata; Actinopteri; Salmoniformes; Salmonidae
Exons: 9
Source: RefSeq, a predicted model, not a curated record